GGCUCCGGCGCGGCGGACCGGGGCCGUCGGCCUGCUCCGAGCUGCGGGCGCCCGGUGUCGGACAGCGCCGGGCCGCGGGGUGCUGCCGGCUGCGGCUGUGCCCGGGGCUGCGGGACUUCGGGCCGCGCAGGGCGGGACGGAGCCGCCGUGAGCCCUGCUCUCCUCUAGCUGGUAUGGAUUGUGGGAGCCCUGAUUCGCUGCAGAAACGGACUGUUAUUUGCAUCCAGUGAUCUGUGCCAAAUGGCUUAUGUACAAAUAAAGUCUUGUGUGGUGCAAAA
Long non-coding RNA from Numida meleagris (helmeted guineafowl), 278 nucleotides. RefSeq lists it as uncharacterized. The transcript is spliced from 2 exons. Lineage: Eukaryota; Metazoa; Chordata; Aves; Galliformes; Numididae. The record is from RefSeq and is a predicted model, not a curated record.